GGUUGAAGGCUGAGAGGGAAUAGCUCAGUAGCUUCUUGCUUGGUGUCCCACACGAAGACACCCAAAGCAUCGAACUGGGUUUCUGCAGUUUGCCUUGAAGUGAUCUGAGCUCCCACAUCUAAAGUAGGUGCCCUUUUUAAAGGGCUUGGGCUUGACAAGAGGCAUAGAGGGAGAAGUGGAGGGACUUGUACUGAUGGAGUGGUUUACCUUUGUUUCAGGAAGCAAUUGGCUUUUUUUUUGGCUUCUGGUUAGUGGGUCGGCUGCUCAAACUGCUCUCACAUGAGCACAACCAGCUAC
Molecule: long non-coding RNA, 297 nt
Filed under: Phoenix dactylifera (date palm)
Lineage: Eukaryota; Viridiplantae; Streptophyta; Magnoliopsida; Arecales; Arecaceae
Description: long non-coding RNA (PDAC_LNC003628)
Source: RNAcentral